UAACGCGUGGGAAUCUGCCCUGGAGUGGGGGAUAACCCGGCGAAAGCCGGGCUAAUACCCCCUACGUCCUGAGGGAGAAAGAUUUAUCGCUCUAGGAGGGGCCCGCGUCGGAUUAGCUAGUUGGUGAGGUAACGGCUCACCAAGGCGACGAUCCGUAGCUGGUCUGAGAGGAUGAUCAGCCACACUGGGACUGAGACACGGCCCAGACUCCUACGGGAGGCACCAGUGGGGAAUAUUGGACAAUGGGGGCAACCCUGAUCCAGCAAUGCCGCGUGAGUGAUGAAGGCCUUAGGGUUGU
Molecule: ribosomal RNA, 298 nt
Filed under: uncultured Sphingomonadaceae bacterium
Lineage: Bacteria; Pseudomonadati; Pseudomonadota; Alphaproteobacteria; Sphingomonadales; Sphingomonadaceae
Description: partial 16S ribosomal RNA
Rfam family: Bacterial small subunit ribosomal RNA
Source: RNAcentral